Molecule: long non-coding RNA, 115 nt
Organism: Ipomoea nil (Japanese morning glory)
Lineage: Eukaryota; Viridiplantae; Streptophyta; Magnoliopsida; Solanales; Convolvulaceae
Exons: 3
Source: RefSeq, a predicted model, not a curated record
GAGUAAAAGUACUAAAGUGUGUUGAUGUUUUAAGUAUUCAAUAAGCAUCUUUGAAAGUCGAUGCCUCUAGUGUUUAAUAAUUCGACCAAAACUAUAAUAACUUGACAAUAUCAUA